UUCCCGGAAUACCCAUACACAUGAAGAGGAAAAUGGUACUUCGAUGAACGAUCUGCUUAAUUCCUCCCGCCACCGCACGCCCAGAAUGGGAGCCAAGGGGGUGGCAUCGUCAGCGGCGGGGACGGCGGCGCUGGUCUAUGUCGUGCUCUCCGGACGACUGUCCCCCGACGGCGCGGAGGAGGCGCCAAGGAGGCGGAACGGGCGGAGGGACGUUGGCGGGGAAAGCGAGGCGAGGUGGCCGGAGAGCGCGCCGGCGAGCUGGAGGGAAGCCGCGGCCGUGGCGGCGAGGACGGUGAGGUUGGCGUACGGCGAGACGCUGGGGAAGUGGCCGUUCGGGGACAUCGCCUUCGGGAUCAGCCACUACAUGCGUCUCCAGGGCAAUCUGCAGCACGAGUAUACAAGUGGCAAUUGUGUGCCCUUGGAAGGUCCUGGAGUAAGGCAGGAGCUGAUUGCACUUCUCAUAUACCUGAGACUCUGCAUGUUCUUCUCAAAGGAGCAUUAUGAAGUGUUCCUAGAGUUUGGUGGAUAUGAGCAGAAUGAUAUUCUUAUAAGGAAGUCCAAGGCAAAGCUUAUGAAGCCUACGUUCACGGUUGUUCGCGACGAAAGUACCAGAUGCUUCCUCCUUUUUAUCCAGGGAGCUAUCAGUGUUAAGGAUCGCCUGACGGCAGCAACUGCGGCAGAGGUUCCGUUUCAUCAUGUUGUGUCACAAGAAGGCCGUGGAUCAUGUAUAGUUGUUGGGCAUGCACAUUGUGGAAUGGUUGCAGCAGCUCGCUGGGUUGCGGAUCAGGCCAUUCCCUGCCUUAGUAGAGCAGUCGAGCGAUUUCCAGACUACAAAAUUAAGAUCAUUGGGCAUUCCAUGGGUGCUGCUAUUGCAGCUAUUUUAACAUGUAUACUACGUGAGAACAAGAAGUUAUCAUCAUCUGCAUGUAUUGCCUUUGGACCAGCUGCUUGCAUGAGCUGGGACUUGGCUGAGUCCAGCAAAGACUUCGUCACCACUGUUGUCAAUAAAAAUGAUCUGGUCCCAUCUUUUGGCAAGGUCUCAGCCGCUGAACUUCGUACAAAGGUCAUGGCAUCAUCCUGGGCACCUGGUCUCCAGGAACAUAUUCAGCAGAAAAGACUCCUGAGUUUUAUGAACCACUCUGUGGACUUCAUGCGAUCCUACAUCCCUUUUGUAUCCAGUCCAAGUUCUAAGGUUGCAGAUGUUGAUAUGCUGCAACCUUGGACUGCUAAGGCUGAGAUGAAGCAUUCAGAAGGCGUGCAUGAAGUAGUGAAGAAACAUUCUGCCCUAUCCUGCUGGCCAUAUGUUGCUACAAAGAGUCAAACUUCUGAUAAAGCUGAGAAAGGAACAGAUGGAGAACACAUGGAGCAGCUCCUGGAAGCCCUGCGAUCACCGUCGAGUACCUCUCAGUCACCUCGGCAUCGCCAGUUGUACCCCCCAGGAAGAAUCAUGCACAUGGUUGCAUUGCCAAUAUCAGAAGAGCAAGGCAGACAGAGUGAGGGUGUUGCCCUCUACGAGACCCCUCGCGACAUGUACAACAAGAUCCGACUCGACGGAUCAAUGAUAAGGGACCAUUACAUGCCUAGGUACAUUGAGACGAUGGAGAUGCUCAUCGACAAGCUUGCAGAGGAUGACGCGCCUCCCAGUGACUCCAACGACGUCCGGUUGGACUAACUUUAAAAUAAAGUACUAGCCACGCCUUCUGAGAGAUUUUGUAGGAAAUCCUGUAUGCGAUGAUGUUAAAUUUUUAACUGCUAAUUUUUUAACUAAUUGCUCGGUUGUUAUUUGUUUGUUUGAUGUUUUAUAUUAUAGUGUAUGUAUAAAUAUCAAGCUGGUGCGGACAGUGGAGAGUUUCAUGAAGAAAGCUUUAUGGCAUGAAAAAGUUUAUUCAUUUUAAAUAAGGGGA
RNAcentral lists this ribosomal RNA (1904 nucleotides) under Triticum aestivum (bread wheat). RNAcentral describes it as "partial small subunit ribosomal RNA". Lineage: Eukaryota; Viridiplantae; Streptophyta; Magnoliopsida; Poales; Poaceae. The record is from RNAcentral.